RNAcentral lists this ribosomal RNA (1382 nucleotides) under uncultured bacterium. RNAcentral describes it as "16S ribosomal RNA". It matches the Rfam family "Bacterial small subunit ribosomal RNA", at positions 28 to 1399 of the family's 1533-position model. The record is from RNAcentral.
GAUGAACGCUAGCGACAGGCUUAACACAUGCAAGUCGAGGGGCAGCGGGGGCGUAGCAAUAUGCCUGCCGGCGACCGGCGCACGGGUGAGUAACACGUAUGUAACCUGCCCUAUGCAGGGGGAUAACCCGGAGAAAUCCGGCCUAAUACCGCGUAACACCUUAGGGGAGCAUUCUCUUGAGGUUAAAGGAGAGAUCCGGCAUAGGAUGGACAUGCGUCGCAUUAGGUAGACGGCGGGGUAACGGCCCACCGUGCCGACGAUGCGUAGGGGUUCUGAGAGGAAGGCCCCCCACACUGGUACUGAGACACGGACCAGACUCCUACGGGAGGCAGCAGUGAGGAAUAUUGGUCAAUGGCCGAGAGGCUGAACCAGCCAAGUCGCGUGAGGGAAGAAUGUCCUAAGGAUUGUAAACCUCUUUUGUCGGGGAGCAAAAAGGCUCUGCGGAGUCGUAUUUGAGAGUACCCGAAGAAAAAGCAUCGGCUAACUCCGUGCCAGCAGCCGCGGUAAUACGGAGGAUGCGAGCGUUAUCCGGAUUUAUUGGGUUUAAAGGGUGCGCAGGCGGCGUGUCAAGCAAGCGGUAAAAUAGCGGGGCUCAACCCCGUCGAGCCGUUUGAACUGGCGCGCUUGAGUUCAGGCGAGGUAGGCGGAAUUCGUGGUGUAGCGGUGAAAUGCAUAGAUAUCACGAAGAACUCCGAUUGCGAAGGCAGCUUACCAGUCUGCGACUGACGCUCAGGCACGAAAGUGUGGGUAUCGAACAGGAUUAGAUACCCUGGUAGUCCACACAGUAAACGAUGAGCGCUAGGUGUCCGGGUCGCAUGAGACUUGGGUGCCCGAGCGAAAGCGUUAAGCGCUCCACCUGGGGAGUACGCCGGCAACGGUGAAACUCAAAGGAAUUGACGGGGGCCCGCACAAGCGGAGGAACAUGUGGUUUAAUUCGAUGAUACGCGAGGAACCUUACCCGGGCUCAAACGACUCAGGAAUAUAUUGGAAACGAUGUAGCCAGCAAUGGUCUGAGUCGAGGUGCUGCAUGGUUGUCGUCAGCUCGUGCCGUGAGGUGUCGGCUUAAGUGCCAUAACGAGCGCAACCCCUACCGCCAGUUGCCAACGGGUAAAGCCGGGAACUCUGGCGGGACUGCCGGCGCAAGCUGUGAGGAAGGCGGGGAUGACGUCAAAUCAGCACGGCCCUUACGUCCGGGGCGACACACGUGUUACAAUGGCAGGUACAGCGGGAAGCCACCUGGUGACAGGGAGCGGAACCCGAAAGCCUGUCUCAGUUCGGAUUGGAGUCUGCAACUCGACUCCAUGAAGCUGGAUUCGCUAGUAAUCGCGCAUCAGCCAUGGCGCGGUGAAUAAAUUCCCGGGCCUUGCACACACCGCCCGUCA